AAUAAGGUUAAGUAUAAGAUUUUCAAAAGCAGAAAGGAGGAAAAUACACCCAUUUGUAUGCUUUUCUGUUAUCCACUUAUCAUAUAUAUCCGCAAAGCAGAAAGAAGUGCCAUUUCUCUCCAAAGUGAAAGAAUGGAACAUUCUCCAGAAGAAGAGUGAAUUAUUCUCUCCCGCCUGGUCUCUUUGCUGUGCCCUCUGCUGUUAAAUCCACUUCCAUGCUCUCAGUGAUCUUCCAUAAAACCAUGAGCACGUCAAAUUCUGAGAUAUUCUUCUCAUCUGUUUGUGGAAAAUGCUAACGCAGACCCUCAAGAAGUUCACAACCAGAAUUAACUCUGUACAUCAAGAGCGUCUUCUUCUACCAAGGACAGUUCCAGGGUGUUUUCAUUC
Molecule: long non-coding RNA, 387 nt
Organism: Herpailurus yagouaroundi (jaguarundi)
Lineage: Eukaryota; Metazoa; Chordata; Mammalia; Carnivora; Felidae
Exons: 3
Source: RefSeq, a predicted model, not a curated record